Molecule: non-coding RNA, 119 nt
Organism: Pteropus alecto (black flying fox)
Lineage: Eukaryota; Metazoa; Chordata; Mammalia; Chiroptera; Pteropodidae
Source: Rfam
GUCUACGGCCCUUCUACCCUGAACGAGCCUGAUCCUGUCUGAUCUCGGAAGCUAAGCAGGGCCAGGCCUAGUUAGUACUUGGAUGGGAGACCACCUAGGAACACCAGGUGCUGUAGGUG